This is a long non-coding RNA of Sapajus apella (tufted capuchin), 1976 nucleotides long. RefSeq lists it as uncharacterized. The record is from RefSeq and is a predicted model, not a curated record. The transcript is spliced from 2 exons. Lineage: Eukaryota; Metazoa; Chordata; Mammalia; Primates; Cebidae.
CUUGCUCCACUUGCUCCAGAACUGCUUAUAUUCCUUAGGCUUUGGUCCUGGCCUCUCAUUUUGUACCAUGUAUGCUCUUGUAAGAUCCAAUCCAAUCCAUUUUCAGAGCUCUACCCCAUAAGCAGACCCAACCAGCUCCUAUGUUUCUGUCUCCAGCCCCACGCACUCCCUGAACUCAGUGCCCACUAGGGAUCUCACAAUGAGUGUGUCCAAAACUAAAUUCCCAUCAACCCUGCCUGCCCAUCUUUAUCUGAGUGAGUGACACUGCCUAACAGUCAUUUUAGACUUCUCUUGCUCUCUCUGACUCAUAGCCAAGUCCUGCUAUUUGCACUUCCUUUCAAUAGUCCAGCUUAGCAGUUACAGCACAGACUCUGAAGCAAGACAGCCUGGAAUCAGAGCCCAGCUCAGGAAGAAACUACUCAUGUGACCACGGGAAGUUAUUUAACCUCUCUGGACCUCAGCUUUUACAUCUAUAAAAUGUGGGAAAUAAGGUUUCUACCUCUUAAUGUUGUUGUGGGUCUUGUUAAUACAUGUAAAACCCUAAGCACAAUACCAACAUCGUGGCAGUUUCUGCGUAAGUAGUUCCUAGUGUUAAUGUUAGUAAUCAAUCAAGUCUCCUCUCCCCCACUGCCAAGCCACCAUCAUUUCUUGCCUAGAGUGUCACAGGAGCUUUCUUCCUGGUCUCCCUAUCUCCUAACAUCUGGCCCAGGAUGAGGGCAAGACACAUCAUGCAACCCCAGCAGGCAUCAUCUCACAGAAUACAAAGUAAAUGGCACCCUAACCUCCGAUCUUCCCUGGCACCUGCUCCACUGCUGUUUUCAAUGUACACAUUUCUCAUGUCAAACUUUUCAGAGAUUUUCCCUUCCCCUUCAAACUAAAACCCCAGCUCCACAGCAGGCAUCUGUUGAUGUUGUCUUCAGGGGAGGUGGAUUUAGGAGUCAUCAAUGCAGGGAUCAGAAUGGAGCCUUUCAGAAUAGAAGAAAUGAAAUUCAUUGAGGGAUACUACUUGCAGAGGUUGUGCUAACUCUUCCUUAAAUAACUUAUGGAGCAGGUCUUAUUCCCACCCUACAGACGAACAAGCAGAGACAUAAAUAAUUCGUUUACUGGCUUUGGGUUCCCAGGCAAAUCAGUUGUGGAUGACAACAGAUAAAGAUAGAAAAGCAAGCCUAGAGAGAGUAGACAGAGCCAGCAUGCCUGGGACAUGCUGACAGAUAUCUAGAUAUAGCUGUAAAGAAAAUUUGUGUUCAUGGGAGUUCCUAAUGGCCAUCAGAGGUAGCAUAAUAACCAUGAGAAAUGGACAUUUCUUGAUGAGAUGAGACUACAUAAAGGAGACAGACACACCUAUUGCAUGCAGGACACCACAUUAGGUCUUGUAAAAGACAAAGAGAAGAUAGGAUCAAGUGCCUAGGUCUUGAAGGAGGGCUAAAUGCACUUUUCACUUAGCGUACAUUCUUGUGACUUACUGUUUUUGAUACACUGUUGUAAGCAAACUGCAUGUAUUAUCUCAUUCCAUCCUCACAACAACAACCCUAAAGCCAAGUACUAUUAUUGUCCUUAUUUUACAGAUAGGGAAACAAGCACAGAGAGGUUAGGUAAGUGGCCCAAGUUCACGCAGGCCACCUGGCUUCGGAAUUGGUGCCCUUAUCCAGUUCAUUAUGCAAUCUCUCCUCACUAAUUUUGAACUUCAGUGGCUGAGACCUACUAGAUGAUCGAGACUCAACCAUAAUAGAAAGAAUGGAGAUCUAUUAACCGCCUUUCUUCUGUGAGCUGUGGUUUUCAGAGGGGAAUGUUAAGAGGUAAGUGGGGGAUAUUAAUUAGAACCCAGGCCACGAUGCCUGGGAAGACGGGCUGAAUCUCCCGGUAUGGUGAGUGGGUAUUCAGGGAGAGCUCUCGCCAAGAGGAAGGGGUGUGGUGCCUGAGGGGUGUGCCUGAGGGGUCUGUGCUUGCACACAGGUGGACACAAGGAAAGGGGAGAA